CAGUAACUCCUGUCUGCCUGACCUCCGGCCGUGCUCCGAGCUCACCAAGCCUGUGGCCUGUUCAAGGUGUACAAGAGAGUGAUUCUCCAAUUCCAUAUAUUACUCAGUGCUCAUCAUGGUCCCACUAAUCUUCCCAGGAAAGAAAUGGACAGCUCUCAUACUCUGGGCCACUAGGCAUUGGUUGCCAAUUGGGAACAUCAUCAGAAAACUUUCUUAAAAUGGUCAUUGGACAGAGAAAGAGAGAGCACUGUGAGCGUAUGGGGGCAGGAAGGAGCAGAAGAAGAGGCAGAGAAUCUCAAGGAGACGCCCUGUUCUGUGUGGAGCCCAGUAUAGGACAGGCCUCUAUCCCACAACCCUGAGAUCAUGACCUGAGCCAAAAUCAAGAGUCGGUCACUUAACUGACCGAGCCACCCAAACGCCCCAUCAAUUUUCUGAAUAUAACUUAGAAGUAGAAUUGCUAGACCAUAUGGCACAUUUUUUUCAGGAACUGACAUACUCUUUUCUACAGAGGCUAUACCAGUUACAUCCCCACACAGUGGGAACACUCCCCCUGGAAAUUGGCAAGCCUUUCACAGACUCCAGGUUUCCAAAAUAGUUGAAUAUAUGUAUUCUGCCAGCACUGUUGGUCUCUAUAUGGAAAGAAAGACUUAUCCUGCUUCUGAAUCCACAGUCUUCCUGGAAUCCAUAUAUCCCAUUGCUUUUUAACAUCUAUUGUUGCUGAUAGAAAUCCACUUUUAUUCUGAUUGUCAUCUAUCUUCUUGAUCUGGUAAUUUAUACUUUUUUUCCUUUUUAUACUUGACAUUAAAUAUCAAGUCAAUUUCUGGGUCUGGA
Long non-coding RNA from Mustela lutreola (European mink), 831 nucleotides. RefSeq lists it as uncharacterized. The record is from RefSeq and is a predicted model, not a curated record. The transcript has 4 exons. NCBI's taxonomy places the organism in Eukaryota, Metazoa, Chordata, Mammalia, Carnivora, Mustelidae.